GCCAUGUGUGCUGGCCAACACCUGUAAUUCCAGCCAGGAGGGAUGCUGAGGCUGGUGCAUUGCUUGCACUUGGGAUUUCUAAGCUGCAGUGGGAUAAACCUGUCUGGUGUCUGAUUUAAGUUUGGCAUCAAUAUGAUGAUCCUCUGGGAGCUGUGGGCCACCAAGUUGAUGACAGAAGAGUGCACUGGCCCAGGUUAAAAACACAGCAGAUUAAACCUUCUGUGGGGAUCAGCAGUAAUAUCAGAUCUACGAGUAGCUUCUAAACUUCUAGUCUGGGUGAGAUAGGGAGAUUCAGUCUUUA
Unclassified non-coding RNA from Vombatus ursinus (common wombat), 301 nucleotides. It matches the Rfam family "Metazoan signal recognition particle RNA". From Rfam's summary of the family: The signal recognition particle (SRP) is a universally conserved ribonucleoprotein. The record is from Ensembl. NCBI's taxonomy places the organism in Eukaryota, Metazoa, Chordata, Mammalia, Diprotodontia, Vombatidae.